GGCAGGCGGCCGCACAUCUUUCUGGAAGGCGGCAAUUGGGAGAGACGGCGAGUGACGUAAUAACUGCGCGCUCACAGCUUCAGAGGGUCGCCGCCGCGUCUGCGCAUGGGGAGCUGGUUGCCGCUGCAGCCGCCUGGAAUUGUGGGGAUUGUGUCUGCCCCUCGGCUGGCGGGCGGGAAGCCGAAGAUGGAAGACUUGUCUUUGAAGUACGGAUUUCAGACUUCGGUGUUUUUCAAAUCACCUAGGAGGUUGUGUACAUCCCUGGCCUCUACUCAGUGAUUUCAUUUAAAGUGGAAUAUGGGCACCUGCAGUGCUCCCCAGUGUGUUGGUGCCCCAGGGAGCCAGGCUGCUGGGGAAAGCUCAUGUGGCACUCAGCCGUUCCAUUUUGUCGACGAAAAAAGAGAGGAGAAGCUGGCAGAAAGCAAAGGCUUUUGCUUCUGGGUGAGUGUAGCAGCUAUUUUUAGUGUCAAAGCCUUUGCUUUUCCAUUUGGCUAUGCUUUUUUAGCACAGUGCCGGUCCAGCAGGGCUGUUUUCCUUUAUGGCUCCAGAUGUCCUUAGGGAAAGUUUCCGUCUGCCUCUGAGAAGGUGUGGGCUGGGCAAGGGGGUAAUAACUUCUGAGAAUGGGUUCAGACAGGGCUUUAGGUCCACUGCAGUCCUGUUACAGGACCAAUUUCCUGUGGUGGAAUGCGGAGUAUGACAGGAAGAGCAAAGAGA
This is a non-coding RNA of Leptonychotes weddellii (Weddell seal), 714 nucleotides long. Lineage: Eukaryota; Metazoa; Chordata; Mammalia; Carnivora; Phocidae. The record is from RefSeq and is a predicted model, not a curated record.